ACUGUAUUUAUUGUGUGCCCACGGAUUGAGGCUCGGUGCGCCCUCCGCGGAAUCGCCAAACACGUCGUUCGCCAUUCCCACAUCGUUUCGGCACUGGGGGACAGCAAGCCUUCUGACCACAUGGAGACGAUACACGACCUGCUAGGUACGGAAGAGCCCGACUUCUUUUUCAUGGAGCUGUUUCUUCGGGACAUGUGGCUGCAUGUCCAGGCUGCGCUCGCUAACACGGCUAGUGCGGAGCCCCGCGCUUUAGCCGAAGAAGCUGACCGGUUCUUCCUGGCUGCCCGGCCAUUUACCCCUGAGGUGCUGGCCUCUACACGCAGCGGCACCUUCCCUGGUAGGGGCACGCCGCCUAGCAGAGGCUCCGGGGCCGACGACAUUGACUAACGGAGAGGAUGUGUUUAAGAAGAAGAGUGCGCUUUGGAUGUCCGCUCUCUCCAGAGUUCUUUGAUAAGGCGCUGCCCCCCCAGCACCCCGCUAAAAAAGGGGUCCACCCCAGCCCGAGCCCCCACACCCCGGGGGAGCUUAAACCCGCGCUCGGUGCUGAAGACCCCACAGAGGAAUCCCAAACGCCACAAACUCAACGGGACCUCCGCAGCCCCACGGAUUUCACAGCCUCGCCGACACUCGCCAUACCUCUCAACCGCAGAGUGUUGUCGGUGGGAGAAGACCCCAGCAGAGGGCGCUGCUUGGUGCGCCGUAGCACGAGAACCAAGAGCGGCGUGAUAACGGACAGCUCAGCGGGGGGGAUGGUCUGGGUCAGCCACACCUCCCCUGGGAGCCCGCUGCCCCCCCUCUCUGAACCUGUUUUUAUAUUUGAUUCAAGUUGUUUUUAUUGGAGUGGUGUGCAUGUUUUUAUAUUUUAUUCAAGUUGGUUUAGUCAAUUUCCUCCUCGCUCAAAAUCUGAUUUUGUGUUUCGGACAUUCACUGGCAUGUAAUUGAAAAGAGCAACAUGGUGAAAUAAACACUAAAGCUGUAAGAGAUGAA
This is a long non-coding RNA of Gymnodraco acuticeps, 987 nucleotides long. RefSeq lists it as uncharacterized. The transcript has 2 exons. NCBI's taxonomy places the organism in Eukaryota, Metazoa, Chordata, Actinopteri, Perciformes, Bathydraconidae. The record is from RefSeq and is a predicted model, not a curated record.